This 453-nucleotide ribosomal RNA is filed under the name uncultured Leptolinea sp. Its description in RNAcentral is "bacterial SSU rRNA". It matches the Rfam family "Bacterial small subunit ribosomal RNA", at positions 912 to 1382 of the family's 1533-position model. Lineage: Bacteria; Bacillati; Chloroflexota; Anaerolineae; Anaerolineales; Anaerolineaceae. The record is from RNAcentral.
GACGGGGCCCCGCACAAGCAGCGGAGCGUGUGGUUUAAUCGAUGCUACACGAAGACCUUACCAGGGUUUGACAUGCAAGUGGUAGGAAGCCGAAAGGUGACCGACCUUCGGGAGCUUGCACAGGUGCUGCAUGGCCGUCGUCAGCUCGUGUCGUGAGAUGUUCGGUUAAGUCCGCUAACGAGCGCAACCCUCGCUGUGUGUUAUAUGUGUCACACGGGACUGCCGGUCUUAAGCCGGAGGAAGGUGGGGAUGAUGUCAAGCCAGCAUGGCCUUUAUAUCCUGGGCUACACACACGCUACAAUGGCCAACACAAUAGGUUGCUAAGCCGCGAGGUGGCGCCAAUCCAUAAAGUUGGUCUCAGUUCAGAUUGUAGGCUGCAACCCGCCUGCAUGAAGAUGGAGUUGCUAGUAACCGCAGGUCAGCUAUACUGCGGUGAAUACGUUCCCGGGGCUU